Molecule: ribosomal RNA, 1222 nt
Filed under: Campylobacter upsaliensis
Lineage: Bacteria; Pseudomonadati; Campylobacterota; Epsilonproteobacteria; Campylobacterales; Campylobacteraceae
Description: partial 23S ribosomal RNA
Rfam family: Bacterial large subunit ribosomal RNA
Source: RNAcentral
AAAGUGUAGCCAUAGAGGGUGAUAGUCCCGUAUGCAAAAACCUAACCUUAGCUAGCAGUAUCCUGAGUAGGGCGGGACACGAGAAAUCCUGUCUGAAGCUGGGUAGACCACUAUCCAACCCUAAAUACUCCUACCAGAUCGAUAGCGAACAAGUACCGUGAGGGAAAGGUGAAAAGAACGGCGGUGAGCCGAGUGAAAUAGAACCUGAAACCAUUUGCUUACAAUCAUUCAGAGCACUAUGUAGCAAUACAGUGUGAUGGACUGCCUUUUGCAUAAUGAGCCUGCGAGUUGUGGUGUCUGGCAAGGUUAAGCUAACGCGAAGCCGUAGCGAAAGCGAGUCUGAAUAGGGCGUAGCCAUCUCUUUUAUGCAUAUAUUGAAAUUUAGGAGGAUAUGAUGGGAAGUGAAAAAAGCACUCAAGAUAUAAAAAUCCUUAUUUUUAACAAAAAACCUAAGGAAAAUGAAGAAAAAAAAGUUAGUGGCAUUGAACAACAAAAUGAUAAUGAAGGUAUUGUUGAUACUUGGUUAAAGGAAAAACAUAGCAACUGGAUAGGCGAAAGUAUUACAAAAGUUAUACCUGAAUUGAAGGCAUUCUUACUUGAAAAAGGUGUAACUAUUAUUAGCGAUAAGCAAAAUACUGAUUAUCAGUAUGAAAUUGUUGUAAGAAUACCUAAAAAUAAACCAUAGAAUAAAUCCUAAAUAUCCCUAAUUGUAUGUAUAAAUGAGGUGGCUUUAGUCAGAUGCUGCAGACCCGAAACGAAGUGAUCUAUCCAUGAGCAGGUUGAAGCUAGUGUAAGAACUAGUGGAGGACCGAACCCGCUAGCGUUGAAAAGCUAUGGGAUGACUUGUGGAUAGGGGUGAAAGGCCAAUCAAACUUCGUGAUAGCUGGUUCUCUCCGAAAUAUAUUUAGGUAUAGCGUUGUGUCGUAACUAAAGGGGGUAGAGCACUGAAUGGGCUAGGGCAUACACCAAUGUACCAAACCCUAUCAAACUCCGAAUACCUUUAGUGUAAUCACAGCAGUCAGGCGGCGAGUGAUAAAAUCCGUCGUCAAGAGGGAAACAACCCAGACUAACAGCUAAGGUCCCCAAAUCUUACUUAAGUGGAAAACGAUGUGAAGUUACUUAAACAACCAGGAGGUUGGCUUAGAAGCAGCCAUCCUUUAAAGAAAGCGUAAUAGCUCACUGGUCUAGUGAUUUUGCGCGGAAAAUAUAACGGGGCUAAAGU